AAACAAAGAAAGAAAGAAAGAAAGAAAGAUUGAUUCCAAACCACGAGCCAGAAACCCUUACCCAGUAGGCCAGAUCUGGCCUGUAACCAUUUUUAUAAAUUUGUAGUGGCAUACACUUUUAUUUGGUUAUGUGUUUCUGGGUUUAUUCUGUAAUGGAAGUCUUUAUUACCUCCUUAGUGCUGCCUCGGAUUUGCUACAACACCAAAGGGAUUUUCCUGGAUAUUUUCUCCCUUUAACAGUUAACCCAAGAGUAGUUAUAAUGAGGACUAUAUGAACUGUAGUACUUAAAAUAUUUAGUCUCUAGCCCAAUAUAGAAGGAGGAAGGGGAAAAGGAGGAAGGAGAAAUGCUUAUUUUUUUUGUCUGUUCAACCAGAUUCCUGCCAACAUUGGCAUCCUACAGUACAUAUUCUAAAUAGCAAGAAUCUCAAUUGUAGCUAGGAUAUAGGUGUUUGCAGGUAAGUAACCAGUUUAGAACCCUUCUUCUCCCACAACUGAAAUAUUCCAUGCACCCUUAGACAGUUGUUUUGCAACCUACAUCAUUCCGACAAAUGUGCCAAAUACCAAAUUGCUGUAAGGAGUUCCAAGGGAACAGUUUGCAAACAAGGCUGGCUUUCUGGUCUGUGGCUCAUGAAAAUGUAUGAUGUGAUUCACUCUCAGGUAGGUAUGCACUGUGCUGGCUCCUGAUUCCAGCUUCAGAAACCAAAAUAUUCCUUAGUGCAGCUGGCUUUGGGAGUAGAGUGAGUAUGCUUUGCCAAACAGAUGAAGAAACCCUGACAUUUUGUUUAUUUUACUUUCUGGAAAGGCUCAGUCAAAGGAGAAGGGUCUCCAAAUUUUCUAAGCUAGGGUCUAAAUGUCUGUCUUUACACACACAAACACACACACACACACACACACACACACACACACACACACUCAUGUAAAGAAUAUAUAUCUUAUUUCAUGGAUGCUGCUUGCACGCCCGUGGAGAACAAUUACUUCAGCUUUCCUCACAGAGUGCUUGGAGCAGCUCAAUAUUCAGAAGGCUGCUUAGUUUUGGCAAGUCAGUCUUUAUUACCUCCUUAGUGCUGCCUCAGAUUUGCUACAACACCAAAGGGAUUUUCCUGGAUAUUUUCUCCCUUCAACAGUUAACCCAAGAUAUGUAACAGUGAGCCACCAUUGUAGUUUUGACAGAAGAGAAUUCAUUUAGAGAAAAAUGUCAAGAACAUAAAAAACUCAAUUACUAAGUGAUUACACACCUGAACCUUCAUAGUCUCAAAGAAAUCCUACAUUACACGAGAGAACAUUCUUUUUCAACAUGUGUAUGUGUUUCUGAAAAGGUUUACACAUUCUGACAGUGACAUUACAUAAUUAUUGAUACUUAGCAAUGAAUAAUUUCACACAAAAUGUAAGCGUAAUAACAAUAAUAAAGAAAAUAGACCGUACUGUAAUUUUCUAAUGGUUUAACAAGAACGUGAUACUGGUUGGUGUUGGGAGAUGCUCAUGAGUUGCUUAUGAAAGCCAGCUUCCUGUUUUCAUUACCUUGGUUGUUAGAGACACUGAACAAUAGAAACAUUGUAAUAAAUUGGAACUAAAAUCUUAAAUGUCCUUCACAUUUUCAGGUUUCAAAUGCAUGGGGCUCCAACUUUUGGCACUAUCUUAGUGGCUGUGGAGUAUUUAGGAGAAUGAGGUUAGGAGAUAUAAGUCACUAGGGUGAACCUUUGAAGACCAUAGCUGUUCCUGGUACUGGUACUUCCCUAAGGCUGAGUUCCUGAUUGGCUGUCAUAACUUUAUAUCAGACCUGUUCUCCACCAUGUCUUCCUUGCCAUAAUAGAUGCAAAUAUCUCUGAAACCAUGAGCCAAAAUAAAUUUUACUACUUUU
Molecule: long non-coding RNA, 1858 nt
Filed under: Mus musculus (house mouse)
Lineage: Eukaryota; Metazoa; Chordata; Mammalia; Rodentia; Muridae
Description: long non-coding RNA chr4:71303149-71305007
Source: RNAcentral